UUCGUAGGUUUACUGGGGGAGGGAUCUUUACGCGUAUAAAUACCAGGUCCGUAGUCGAAUGUGCUAUAGGGUCAGUUUGGGGGGCGCUGAAUUUUUUAUUACCCUAGUCUUUAAAACAUUUGUUGUUUCCUGAGCGGGUUGGCCCGCCACCAGGACCUCAUCAUGAAUCUUUUUUAUGCAGAUGCAAUAAGCGUCAGUAUACCAGAUGAGAAUCAUUGACAAAUUUCAACAAGGGAUCUCUUGGUUCUGGCAUUGAUGAAGAACGCAGCGAAAUUUGAUAGAUAGUGUGAUUUGCAGAAUUCAGUGAAUCACACUUCGUUGAACACACAUUGCGCCCUUUGGUAUUCCAAAGGGCCAACAGGUUCGAGGGUCAAAGGUGCCAACGAUUUACAUUUGUUAUACGGCGUUUGAUGUCAUUGGCAUAAAAAGACUCGCCGAUGUGGUCUUGGCGGCGGGCGAACCCGCCCAGGAAACAACAAGUGCGCAAAAGACAAGGGUAAUAAAUAAUUCAGCCUCCGCAACAACUGGUCCCGAGAGCACAGCACGCGUACAGCCGUCACACCGAGGGGAAAGUCCAUCU
RNAcentral lists this ribosomal RNA (580 nucleotides) under Curvularia lunata. Its description in RNAcentral is "eukaryotic LSU rRNA". The stretch from base 221 to 373 matches the Rfam family "5.8S ribosomal RNA". Lineage: Eukaryota; Fungi; Ascomycota; Dothideomycetes; Pleosporales; Pleosporaceae. The record is from RNAcentral.